Molecule: non-coding RNA, 72 nt
Organism: Sparassis crispa
Lineage: Eukaryota; Fungi; Basidiomycota; Agaricomycetes; Polyporales; Sparassidaceae
Source: the annotation of a RefSeq genome assembly
UCCUGUUUGGCUCAGUUGGGAGCGCGCGUCACUACAACGGCGCGGUCGGCCGUUCGAAUCGGCGAAUGGGAA